GGGGUAGUAAAGGUUUCGACAGGGGUCUUGCAGCUGGAGAAGCUAUCCGCAGGUGAUGCGUCAAAUCACGACAAUAAAUAUAAACGCUGAAGAUAAUUUAGCAUUCGCUGCCUAGUUGCAGCGUGUCCGCCUUAGUGCACCUACACAUUAAGAACCGGGCAUCGACUAUGUAGGAAACGACAUGGGCAAAGCUUUGAGCCUGUGGGCGUACAAUGAAGCUACUAAAACCUGCAGGGUGUUAGUUCCCGGCAGGCAGAGGGAAUGAAAAAGAACUGACUAUGAUAGUAGAAGUACAGGGAAUGGGCUUUUGGACACGGGUUCGACUCCCGUCUACUCCAUGA
Molecule: transfer-messenger RNA, 341 nt
Filed under: Butyrivibrio sp.
Lineage: Bacteria; Bacillati; Bacillota; Clostridia; Lachnospirales; Lachnospiraceae
Also listed under: 1 other name
Rfam family: transfer-messenger RNA
About the family: Bacterial tmRNA, also known as 10Sa RNA or SsrA, is named for its dual tRNA and mRNA-like properties. Its role is to liberate the mRNA from a stalled ribosome.
Source: RNAcentral